Gadus macrocephalus (Pacific cod) is the source of this 682-nucleotide long non-coding RNA. RefSeq lists it as uncharacterized. The record is from RefSeq and is a predicted model, not a curated record. Lineage: Eukaryota; Metazoa; Chordata; Actinopteri; Gadiformes; Gadidae. The transcript is spliced from 2 exons.
AUUACGAUGGUGUACAUAUUUGGUAAAAACGUACUGAACCUCUAUAUUAUUGCAUGCAUCGUUCAUCAAGUCGUCAAUAAUGAGCAGAUUUCUAGUAUGGACUGGCAAGAUUGCAUCAUCACAUAGAGAUUUGGGGAUCCCUUCUACAAAGUGAAUGUUCCUUAUUUUAAGCAAAUCAUCAUAUAUGGGCUGCCAGCAUGAAUAAACAUAUACUAUAUUUUCAAUCUUUUCUGAGAAUAACCGAUCCAUAUUUUCAAUGACUGUUUUGACAAAGUAGGUUUUGCCGCUGUUUGAAGGUCCCGAUACUACCAUGCUGAACGGGUGUUGAAGUCUAGGGUCGAACGUAGUGUGUACAGCAGCCAUCUCUGCGGUCUGUGUGCAUCCCCUCUGAUGGACGGAUGUAUUGUGACCAUAGAACCGUGAAACAUUUGACAGUUAACAUUCUUUAUUAACACCGACAUGAUUAUUAGCACAGUCAUUCAUCAUUAAUACAUGAUGCAUAAAAAAAAAUGAUUAAAAUAAAAAAGAUGAAAGAAGAGAACAUGGAUCAUUUGAAAACAAUAAUAAACAAAAUAGUUAAUAACAUGAUUAUAGUAUAGUAUGAUUUGAUUUUCUUAACAUACCCCCUCAAAAAAUAUAAAAUGAAUAAAAACAUGGAUCAUUUGAAAACGAUAUGUAAAAA